ACACAUGCAGUCGAGCGGAUGAAGAGAGCUUGCUCUCUGAUUCAGCGGCGGACGGGUGAGUAAUGCCUAGGAAUCUGCCUGGUAGUGGGGGACAACGUCUCGAAAGGGACGCUAAUACCGCAUACGUCCUACGGGAGAAAGCAGGGGACCUUCGGGCCUUGCGCUAUCAGAUGAGCCUAGGUCGGAUUAGCUAGUUGGUGAGGUAAUGGCUCACCAAGGCGACGAUCCGUAACUGGUCUGAGAGGAUGAUCAGUCACACUGGAACUGAGACACGGUCCAGACUCCUACGGGAGGCAGCAGUGGGGAAUAUUGGACAAUGGGCGAAAGCCUGAUCCAGCCAUGCCGCGUGUGUGAAGAAGGUCUUCGGAUUGUAAAGCACUUUAAGUUGGGAGGAAGGGCAGUAAGCGAAUACCUUGCUGUUUUGACGUUACCGACAGAAUAAGCACCGGCUAACUCUGUGCCAGCAGCCGCGGUAAUACAGAGGGUGCAAGCGUUAAUCGGAAUUACUGGGCGUAAAGCGCGCGUAGGUGGUUUGUUAAGUUGAAUGUGAAAUCCCCGGGCUCAACCUGGGAACUGCAUCCNAAACUGGCAAGCUAGAGUAGGGCAGAGGGUGGUGGAAUUUCCUGUGUAGCGGUGAAAUGCGUAGAUAUAGGAAGGAACACCAGUGGCGAAGGCGACCACCUGGGCUCAUACUGACACUGAGGUGCGAAAGCGUGGGGGAGCAAACAGGA
Molecule: ribosomal RNA, 731 nt
Filed under: unidentified microorganism
Description: bacterial SSU rRNA
Rfam family: Bacterial small subunit ribosomal RNA
Source: RNAcentral